CCUACGGUGGGCUGCAGUGGGGAAUAUUGGACAAUGGGCGAAAGCCUGAUCCAGCCAUGCCGCGUGUGUGAAGAAGGCCUUCGGGUUGUAAAGCACUUUCAGUGGGGAAGAAAGCCUUGGGGCUAAUACCCUCGAGGAAGGACAUCACCCACAGAAGAAGCACCGGCUAACUCCGUGCCAGCAGCCGCGGUAAUACGGAGGGUGCGAGCGUUAAUCGGAAUUACUGGGCGUAAAGCGCGCGUAGGCGGUCUGAUAAGCCGGUUGUGAAAGCCCCGGGCUCAACCUGGGAACGGCAUCCGGAACUGUCAGGCUAGAGUGCAGGAGAGGAAGGUAGAAUUCCCGGUGUAGCGGUGAAAUGCGUAGAGAUCGGGAGGAAUACCAGUGGCGAAGGCGGCCUUCUGGACUGACACUGACGCUGAGGUGCGAAAGCGUGGGUAGCAAACAGGAUUAGAUACCCGGGUAGUC
RNAcentral lists this ribosomal RNA (465 nucleotides) under Vreelandella stevensii. Its description in RNAcentral is "partial 16S ribosomal RNA". It matches the Rfam family "Bacterial small subunit ribosomal RNA", at positions 338 to 795 of the family's 1533-position model. The record is from RNAcentral. Lineage: Bacteria; Pseudomonadati; Pseudomonadota; Gammaproteobacteria; Oceanospirillales; Halomonadaceae.